GACCCGUCUUGAAACACGGCCAAGGAGUUUAUCGUGUGCGCAAGUCAUUGGGUGUUGAAAACCCAAAACCCAAAGGCGCAAUGAAAGUAAAGCAUCCGCAAGGGUGCGACGUGUGAUCCUGGCAAUCACGGUCGUCAGGAGCAACAUGGCCCCAUUCUGGCCGCUUGCGGCGGUGUGGAGGAAGAGCGUACGCGGUGAGACCCGAAAGAUGUGUUCUAUUCCUGAGCAGGAUGAAGUCAGAGGAAACUCUGG
Molecule: ribosomal RNA, 252 nt
Filed under: Pratylenchus penetrans
Lineage: Eukaryota; Metazoa; Nematoda; Chromadorea; Rhabditida; Pratylenchidae
Description: partial 26S ribosomal RNA
Rfam family: Eukaryotic large subunit ribosomal RNA
Source: RNAcentral